RNAcentral lists this ribosomal RNA (253 nucleotides) under uncultured bacterium. Its description in RNAcentral is "partial 16S ribosomal RNA". It matches the Rfam family "Bacterial small subunit ribosomal RNA", at positions 524 to 776 of the family's 1533-position model. The record is from RNAcentral.
UACGAGGGGGGCGAGCGUUGUUCGGAAUUAUUGGGCGUAAAGGGCGCGUAGGCGGUGCGGUAAGUCACCUGUGAAACCUCUGGGCUUAACUCAGAGCCUGCAGGCGAAACUGCCGUGCUGGAGUGUGGGAGAGGUGCGUGGAAUUCCCGGUGUAGCGGUGAAAUGCGUAGAUAUCAGGAGGAACACCUGUGGUGUAGACAGCUUACUGGACCAUUUCUGACGCUGAGACACGAAAGCGUGGGGAUCAAACAGG